CAGGGAUGUCCUAUUUCUGGACAGUUGUACUCAUUGGCCAUCGAACCUCUUCUAAACAACCUUAGAACUAGGCUGUCGGGACUUUUGUUACCUGGUCUUCCUGCGCGUCCCCAGCUGGUGGUGUCGGCUUAUGCCGAUGACAUCAAUGUUUUUGUUAGGGAUCAGGGUGAUGUGGACAAAAAUUGAUUGUGGGCUUUUUCUGGUCGGGCCAGCACUGGCUGAGGUCUGCAGUGCUGUACCUGCCAGUACAGGAGGGAGGACAGGGAUUGGUGGACAUUGCAUCUCGUGUCACAGCUUUCAGACUGCAGGCGGCACAAAGACUGUUGUACAGUCUUGGUGUGCCGUGGACGGAUAUGGCCUGUCUGUUGUUAAGGAAGGCUGGGCGACUGGGGUACGACAAACACCUGUUCCUGCUUCAGCCCCAGUCCAUGGACCUGACUGGUCUUACACCCUUCUACCAGUCAGUGUUGAAGGCAUGGCAGGUUCUAUCGUUUAAGCACAAAGCUGUGACAAUACCAGGGAUGUGGAUCUUUGAAGAGCCCCUUUUUGGAAACAGCAUCAUCACCUCUCGGGUCCUGUCCUCCGCCACCCUGAGGUCCAGACUGAGGGAUGCUGGAGUAGUGAAGCUGGGCCACUUGCUGAAGACCUCUGUCCCUGAUCUCUCUGACCGGCUCAACAUGAGGUCCAGCAGGCUGCUGCUCCAGCUUGUAAGAGAGGUCUGUGCUUCCCUGCCAGAGGCCCUAAGAGUCUUUGUGUUGGAUCCAUCUGUGUCUGAACUGUGGGACGACGAGUGUGAGUAUGUCUUUCCCUCCUUGGCUGUCUGUCCAGCUGUUGGACAGUGGCAGCCCGAGGAAGACAACCUGCUGUCCCUGAAGUCUUCGGUAUCAGUGGAUUUUGAAGGUGUCGGGAGGAAAGAUCUCUACAUCUUAGCUGUGAAGGUCAGAAACUUGCGCUCCCUGGAAGGGCUGAAGGCGUCAGGGUGGACUAGUUUUUUUGGCGCAGGCUCUUCCCCGGGGGGUUGUUGGCGGUCCCUGUACAAGCCUCCUGUUGAUAAACGGACAGGAGACCUCCAGUGGAGGAUUGUGCAUGGGGCCAUAGCUACCAACAGGUAUCUGGUGCACCUUGACCCCAGCACAGGGGAUGGCUGCCCUUUCUGUUCCCAGUCAGAAACCAUCCACCACCUCUUUGUCCAGUGUCCCAGACUGGAGGGGCU
Molecule: long non-coding RNA, 1213 nt
Filed under: Takifugu rubripes (torafugu)
Lineage: Eukaryota; Metazoa; Chordata; Actinopteri; Tetraodontiformes; Tetraodontidae
Description: lncRNA (ENSTRUG00000029075.1)
Source: RNAcentral